CCUACGGGGAGCUGCAGUGAGGAAUAUUGGUCAAUGGACGAGAGUCUGAACCAGCCAAGUAGCGUGAAGGAUGACUGCCCUAUGGGUUGUAAACUUCUUUUAUAUGGGAAUAAAAUGUUCCACGUGUGGGAUUUUGUAUGUACCAUAUGAAUAAGGAUCGGCUAACUCCGUGCCAGCAGCCGCGGUAAUACGGAGGAUCCGAGCGUUAUCCGGAUUUAUUGGGUUUAAAGGGAGCGUAGGUGGAUUGUUAAGUCAGUUGUGAAAGUUUGCGGCUCAACCGUAAAAUUGCAGUUGAAACUGGCAGUCUUGAGUACAGUAGAGGUGGGCCGAAUUCGUGGUGUAGCGGUGAAAGGCUUAGAUAUCACGAAGAACUCCGAUUGCGAAGGCAGCUCACUGGACUGCAACUGACACUGAGGCUCGAAAGUGUGGGUAUCAAACAGGAUUAGAUACCCCUGUAGUC
RNAcentral lists this ribosomal RNA (460 nucleotides) under uncultured bacterium. RNAcentral's name for it is "partial 16S ribosomal RNA". It matches the Rfam family "Bacterial small subunit ribosomal RNA", at positions 338 to 795 of the family's 1533-position model. The record is from RNAcentral.